Molecule: ribosomal RNA, 449 nt
Filed under: uncultured Alphaproteobacteria bacterium
Lineage: Bacteria; Pseudomonadati; Pseudomonadota; Alphaproteobacteria
Description: bacterial SSU rRNA
Rfam family: Bacterial small subunit ribosomal RNA
Source: RNAcentral
AGAGUUUGAUCCUGGCUCAGAACGAACGCUGACGGCAGGCUUAACACAUGCAAGUCGAACGAGAAGCCACCUUCGGGUGGUGGACAGUGGCAGACGGGUGAGUAACGCGUGGGAACGCGCCUUUCGGUUCGGGAUAACCCANGGAAACUUGGACUAAUACCGGAUACGCCCUUCGGGGGAAAGAUUCAUUGCCGAAAGAUCGGCCCGCGUCGGAUUAGCUAGUUGGUGAGGUAAAAGCUUACCAAGGCGACGAUCCGUAGCUGGUCUGAGAGGAUGACCAGCCACACUGGGACUGAGACACGGCCCAGACUCCUACGGGAGGCAGCAGUGGGGAAUAUUGGACAAUGGGCGAAAGCCUGAUCCAGCCAUGCCGCGUGGGUGAAGAAGGCCUUAGGGUUGUAAACCCCUUUCAGCGGGGAAGAUAAUGACGGUACCCGCAGAAGAAGCCC